This 383-nucleotide transfer-messenger RNA is filed under the name bovine gut metagenome. It matches the Rfam family "transfer-messenger RNA". From Rfam's summary of the family: Bacterial tmRNA, also known as 10Sa RNA or SsrA, is named for its dual tRNA and mRNA-like properties. The record is from RNAcentral.
GUAAAGGUUUCGACAGGGAUCUUGCAGCCGGAGAAGCUAUCCGCAGGCGAUGCGUCAAAUCGCAAACCUAAAUUAAACGCUAAAGAUAACAUCGUAGCGUUUCGUGCACCGGUUGCUCAGGCAGCCUAAGCGCGAAACCGCCGUCUGAGUACGGCAUGUCCGCCUCGCUAUCCCUGCUGAGUGAGGACCGGGCAUCAUCCCAGCAGGAAACGACGCCGGUUAAGCUUUGCGCCGGCGGGCGUAUCAUGAAGCUACCGAGCGAACGUGGUUGUCGGUGUCCGGGUUCGUGCGGGAAAUGGUCUUAGACCGGAAACAGCGACUAUGAUAGUAGAAGGACGGGGAAUAGGUUUUUGGACGCGGGUUCGAUUCCCGCCUGGUCCACU